This 98-nucleotide ribosomal RNA is filed under the name Staphylococcus hominis. RNAcentral's name for it is "partial 16S ribosomal RNA". It matches the Rfam family "Bacterial small subunit ribosomal RNA", at positions 1444 to 1533 of the family's 1533-position model. Lineage: Bacteria; Bacillati; Bacillota; Bacilli; Caryophanales; Staphylococcaceae. The record is from RNAcentral.
GGGAUGGAGCCGUCUAAGGUGAGGCUCGUGAUUGGGACUAAGUCGUAACAAGGUAGCCGUACCGGAAGGUGCGGCUGGAUCACCUCCUUUCUACGGAG